UUGAAAAGAGUUACACAGAAGAAGGUAUUGAAAAGAGUUACACAGAAGAAGGUAUUGAAAAGAGUUACACAGAAGAAGGUAUUGAAAAGAGUUACACAGAAGAAGGUAUUGAAAAGAGUUACACAGAAGAAGGUAUUGAAAAGAGUUACACAGAAGAAGGAAUUGAAAAGAGUAACACAGAAGAAG
Long non-coding RNA from Eriocheir sinensis (Chinese mitten crab), 186 nucleotides. RefSeq lists it as uncharacterized. The record is from RefSeq and is a predicted model, not a curated record. NCBI's taxonomy places the organism in Eukaryota, Metazoa, Arthropoda, Malacostraca, Decapoda, Varunidae. The transcript has 2 exons.